UACGGAGGAUGCAAGCGUUAUCCGGAAUGAUUGGGCGUAAAGCGUUCGCAGGUGGCUGUUCAAGUCUGCUGUCAAAUACCGGGGCUUAACCCUAGAAAGGCAGUGGAAACUGAACGGCUGGAGUGCAGUAGGGGUAGAGGGAAUUCCCAGUGCAGCGGUGAAAUGCGUAGAGAUUGGGAAGAACACCGGUGGCGAAAGCGCUCUGCUGGACUGCAACUGACACUGAGGGACGAAAGCUAGGGGAGCGAAAGGG
RNAcentral lists this ribosomal RNA (253 nucleotides) under uncultured bacterium. Its description in RNAcentral is "partial 16S ribosomal RNA". It matches the Rfam family "Bacterial small subunit ribosomal RNA", at positions 524 to 776 of the family's 1533-position model. The record is from RNAcentral.